RNAcentral lists this ribosomal RNA (501 nucleotides) under uncultured bacterium. Its description in RNAcentral is "partial 16S ribosomal RNA". It matches the Rfam family "Bacterial small subunit ribosomal RNA", at positions 30 to 523 of the family's 1533-position model. The record is from RNAcentral.
AUUGAACGCUGGCGGCAGGCUUAACACAUGCAAGUCGAGCGGGGAAGGGUAGCUUGCUACCUGACCUAGCGGCGGACGGGUGAGUAAUGCUUAGGAAUCUGCCUAUUAGUGGGGGACAACAUUCCGAAAGGAAUGCUAAUACCGCAUACGCCCUACGGGGGAAAGCAGGGGAUCUUCGGACCUUGCGCUAAUAGAUGAGCCUAAGUCAGAUUAGCUAGUUGGUGGGGUAAAGGCCUACCAAGGCGACGAUCUGUAGCGGGUCUGAGAGGAUGAUCCGCCACACUGGGACUGAGACACGGCCCAGACUCCUACGGGAGGCAGCAGUGGGGAAUAUUGGACAAUGGGCGAAAGCCUGAUCCAGCCAUGCCGCGUGUGUGAAGAAGGCCUUUUGGUUGUAAAGCACUUUAAGCGAGGAGGAGGCUAACGAGAUUAAUACUCUUGGAUAGUGGACGUUACUCGCAGAAUAAGCACCGGCUAACUCUGUGCCAGCCGCCGCGGUAA